ACCACCGAGUCACUGGAAUAAUGAACAGGGACCUGAGUACAAGGGAUAAGGCCUCAGCGAUAACAGAAUAAUGAAAGGAAGAUGGUUUCUAGGCAUUGAAGAAAUUUUUGGAAAAAUUAUUCAAGAUAUGAACCACUUCUCUCUGGAAUAUCUCAGAAUGCCUUCACAAACUUACUCAUCCAAUGGAGUUCCGUAAUUUUCUACCUAAAUGCUCACUGAAACUCCAGGCCAGGAAAAUAAAGUAACUACCAUUUGAAUAUAGCCCCAAGACUGACUGAAGACCACUUUGCCCUGCUGAGUCCUCUUAUUAAGAAAAACAGUUCAAGCCGGCGCCGUGGCUCAAUAGGCUAAUCCUCCACCUUGCGGCGCCGGCACACCGGGUUCUAGUCCCGGUGGGGGCGCCGGAUUCUGUCCCGGUUGCCCCUCUUCCAGGCCAGCUCUCUGCUAUGGCCAGGGAGUGCAGUGGAGGAUGGCCCAGGUGCUUGGGCCCUGCACCCCAUGGGAGACCAGGAAAAGCACCUGGAUCCUGGCUCCUGCCAGGAUCAGCGCGGUGAGCCGGCUGCAGCGGCGGCCAUUGGAGGGUGAACCAACGGCAAAGGAAGACCUUUCUCUCUCUGUCUCUCUCUCUCACUGUCCACUCUGCCUGUCAA
This is a long non-coding RNA of Oryctolagus cuniculus (rabbit), 650 nucleotides long. RefSeq lists it as uncharacterized. The record is from RefSeq and is a predicted model, not a curated record. NCBI's taxonomy places the organism in Eukaryota, Metazoa, Chordata, Mammalia, Lagomorpha, Leporidae.